Molecule: RNA transcript, 2017 nt
Organism: Olea europaea var. sylvestris
Lineage: Eukaryota; Viridiplantae; Streptophyta; Magnoliopsida; Lamiales; Oleaceae
Gene name: lysine--tRNA ligase
Exons: 17
Source: RefSeq, a predicted model, not a curated record
AACAUCAAUUCCAAAAUGGUAUGCUCUUCCUCUCUUUCUAUAACUGCCUCUGCCAGGGAAUGGCCACAGAAAUCCUCCACUGCAGAAGAUGAAGGCAUGGAUCCAACCCAAUAUUAUGAAAAUAGGCUGAGAGCACUCGCAGCUCAGAAGGAAGCUGGGAACAAUCCUUAUCCUCACAAAUUUGCAACUUCACUGACCAUUCCUGACUAUGUGAAGAAAUAUGAAAGUUUAAAUAGUGGGGAUCAUCUUGAGGACGAUGAAGAAAGACUGGCUGGGCGGCUUAUGAACAAGCGGUCAUCAUCUGCAAAGCUAUUUUUUUAUGAUCUACAUGGUGGUGGUGCUAAAGUUCAAGUUAUGGCUGAUGCAAGGAAAUCGGAUUUGGGUGAAGAAGAAUUUACUAAAUUUCAUUCUUCUGUGAAGCGAGGUGAUAUCGUUGGGAUUAUUGGGUUUCCAGGAAAAAGUAAGAGGGGAGAGCUGAGUAUUUUUCCCAAAACAUUUAUAGUUCUGUCCCACUGUCUGCACAUGAUGCCCCGGCAAAAAAUUGGUCCUGGGUCAGACAAUGCCAAGAAAACUGAUGUUUGGGCUCCAGGAAGUGGCAGGAAUCUUGAGGCUUAUAUAUUGAAGGAUCAGGAAACACGAUACAGACAACGUUACUUGGAUUUGAUGCUGAACGUGGAGGUUCGGGAAAUAUUCAAAACCAGGGCAAAAAUUAUUUCUUACAUCAGAAAUUUUCUUGAACAUCGUGAAUUUUUGGAGGUUGAAACGCCCAUGAUGAACAUGAUUGCAGGAGGAGCUGCAGCCCGCCCAUUUGUAACCCAUCACAAUGACUUCAAUAUGAAGCUUUACAUGCGCGUUGCACCUGAGCUUUUUCUUAAGGAGCUGGUUGUUGGUGGGCUUGAGAGGGUGUAUGAAAUUGGGAAACAGUUUAGGAAUGAGGGAAUUGACUUAACACACAAUCCUGAGUUCACAACUUGCGAGUUUUACAUGGCUUUCGCUGAUUACAAUGACCUGAUGGAGUUAACUGAAGAAAUGCUCAGUGGGAUGGUCAAGGAACUUACCGGUGGCUAUAAAAUUAAAUAUCAUGCCAACUGUUCAGAUAGUGACCCCAUUGAGAUUGACUUCACUCCUCCGUUCAGGCGAAUUGAUAUGGUAGAGGAGUUGGAGAAGAUGGCAGAUCUAAGCAUACCUAAAGAUCUCUCCAGUGAGGAAACUAAUAAAUAUCUGGCAGAUGCAUGUGCGAAGUUUGAUAUAAAAUGCUCUCCCCCUCAAACAACAGCUAGAUUGUUAGACAAACUUGUAGGGCACUUUCUGGAGGAGACAUGCAUAAACCCUACUUUUAUUAUCAAUCAUCCAGAGAUAAUGUCUCCCUUGGCAAAGUGGCAUAGAUCAAAACCAGGCCUAACUGAACGGUUUGAGUUGUUCAUCAACAAGCACGAGCUUUGCAAUGCAUACACUGAAUUGAAUGAUCCUGUGGUGCAACGCCAGCGUUUUGCUGAUCAACUCAAGUCAGGACCGACAGUCGGGUGAUGAUGAAGCAAUGGCCCUAGAUGAAACAUUCUGUACAGCUCUUGAAUAUGGAUUGCCUCCAACUGGUGGUUGGGGAAUGGGUAUUGAUCGAUUUGCAAUGUUGAUAACGGAUUCACAGAACAUAAAGGAAGUUUUACUCUUUCCAGCCAUGAAACCACAGGAUGAACCUUCCAAAGACAGCAACAAAAAAGCUCAGGAUGAACCUCCAUCUGAAGAGCUCAAAAAGAACGUCACGUUGUCUUGAGAUUUCUAAACAUCACUGCAACAUCAGGGGAAAAAAGAAGGUUUUAACACAUUUCAAUUUCUGGUAAAACGGAUUGGUCUUAUAAUUUUAUUGUGGUUCGAUGUUCAGAAAUCAUUUCAGUCAAGCCAAUUAUUGCAACUCAUACAUCUAUGUGCAGAUGCUCGAAGCUUUUAGCCCACACACAAGUGCGUGUCUGGGCGUGUGUAACAUUGCCCAUUAUAAACUGGAUGUGUUUUGAUGGUUUUA